AUGAAACGUCGCAAGUGGCCUGGUAAUGCUAAAUGUUCUUUUUGUGCUGCUCGGGAGACGGCACAACACCUCUUUUUCCUUUGCCCAGUUUCUAGGAUUAUCUGGCGAUCGGUGAGGGCAAUCCUGGGCACCGACCUAUGCCCCAACAACCUUUGGCAAUACUAUUCUUGGUGCUAUAUCUAUCUUCGUGAUGGUGCAAAGUUCUAUACUUUUGGACUAGCUGCCAUUUGUUGGGCUAUUUGGAACUGUCGCAACAGGGCCACCUUUGAGUUUAAACUGCCUAAAACCCCUUUUGAGAUUGUGUUCUCCGCUUGUGUCUUCAUUACCUACUGGGCAGGUCUCUUGAAGGGGGCGGACCGUGAGGCGAUGGAGCGGGGGUCGCAGAUGCUGAGGAACAACACAAGCAACAUGAUGAUGAUCUGCGCUACUGCGACGGAGGAUUCGGCGACGACUUGA
This 456-nucleotide ribosomal RNA is filed under the name Triticum aestivum (bread wheat). RNAcentral's name for it is "partial small subunit ribosomal RNA". The record is from RNAcentral. Lineage: Eukaryota; Viridiplantae; Streptophyta; Magnoliopsida; Poales; Poaceae.